GAAAUGCGAUAAGUAGUGUGAAUUGCAGAAUUCAGUGAAUCAUCGAAUCUUUGAACGCACAUUGCGCUCCUUGGUAUUCCAUGGGGCAUGCCUGUUCGAGCGUCAUCUACACCCUCAAGCUCUGCUUGGUGUUGGGCGUCUUUGUCCCGCCUCCGCGCGCGGACUCGCCCCAAAUUCAUUGGCAGCGGUCCUUGCCUCCUCUCGCGCAGCACAUUGCGCUUCUCGAGGUGUUGCGGCCCGCGUCCAGAAAGCAAUCGUUACCGUCUUUGACCUCGGAUCAGGUAGGGAUACCCGCUGAACUUAAGC
RNAcentral lists this unclassified non-coding RNA (306 nucleotides) under plant metagenome. RNAcentral describes it as "partial contains 5.8S ribosomal RNA, internal transcribed spacer 2, and large subunit ribosomal RNA". The stretch from base 1 to 105 matches the Rfam family "5.8S ribosomal RNA", at positions 50 to 154 of the family's 154-position model. The record is from RNAcentral.